This 243-nucleotide ribosomal RNA is filed under the name Geopora clausa. RNAcentral's name for it is "partial large subunit ribosomal RNA". It matches the Rfam family "Eukaryotic large subunit ribosomal RNA", at positions 104 to 344 of the family's 3401-position model. The record is from RNAcentral. Lineage: Eukaryota; Fungi; Ascomycota; Pezizomycetes; Pezizales; Pyronemataceae.
AAAGCUCAAAUUUGAAAUCGGUGUCCAUCAAACGCCGAGUUGUAAUUUGGAGGGACAACUUCGGGCUGAACCACAUCGUAAGUUCCUUGGAACAGGACGUCAUAGAGGGUGAGAAUCCCGUGUCUUGAUGUCGGGUCAAACCAUGUGAAGUGUCUCCGACGAGUCGAGUUGUUUGGGAAUGCAGCUCAAAAUGGGUGGUAAAUUUCAUCUAAAGCUAAAUAUUGGCGAGAGACCGAUAGCGAA